This is a non-coding RNA of Nycticebus coucang (slow loris), 477 nucleotides long. The record is from the annotation of a RefSeq genome assembly. Lineage: Eukaryota; Metazoa; Chordata; Mammalia; Primates; Lorisidae.
AUGGGUCUGCCUGCUGAGCAGAUGCCACCUGGUGCAGUGACCAGGCUUCCUCUGCCCCAGCUGCACGAGGUGAUGGGAGGCCCCAGGCAGGGGUUUUUGUAUGAACCUCUGUCACAGUGUGGUGUGUUCGGCGGAGGGACCCAGCUGACCAUCAUAAGUUCAGAAAAGGCCACUCCCGCUGUCACUCUCUUCGCACCCUCCUCUGAGGAGCUGAAAGACAACAAGGCCACACUGGUGUGUCUGAUGAGUGACUUCUACCCACCCACCGUCUCCGUGGCCUGGCAGGCAGAUGGCAGUCCUGUCACGCAGGGCGUGGAGACCACCAAGCCCUCAAAACAAAGCAACGGCAAGUACACGGCCAGCAGCUACCUGAGCCUGACAGGUGACCAGUGGAGAAGUCACAAAAGGUACAGCUGCCUGGUCACCCACGAUGGCAAGAUGGAGGAGAAGACAGUGGCCCCCGCAGAAUGUGUUUAG